Molecule: ribosomal RNA, 497 nt
Filed under: uncultured bacterium
Lineage: Bacteria
Description: partial 16S ribosomal RNA
Rfam family: Bacterial small subunit ribosomal RNA
Source: RNAcentral
GAUGAACGCUGGCGGCGUGCCUAACACAUGCAAGUCGAACGGACGGACGAGACGCUUGCUUCUCUGUUGUUUGCGGCGGACGGGUGAGUAACACGUGUAUACCCUACCUAUCAGACUGAGAUAACUUCGGGAAACCGGAUCUUAUACCGGAGAAUCUUUUGAAGCGCAUGGUUCAAAAGUGAAAGACGGCGUUGCGGGCACUUAUAGAUGGAUCCCGGCUGCAUUAGCUGGUUGGUAAGGUAACGGGCUACCAAGGCAAGUAUGCAUAGCCGACGUGAGAGGCUGGUCGGCGACAUGGGAGGGGGGACAGGGUCCAGACUACUGCGGGAGGGAGCAGUAGGGAAUCGUCGGCAAUGGGCGGAAGCCUGACGGAGCAGCGCCGAGUGUGAUGUGACAGUCUUGGGAGCGGAAUGCCCGGUUAUUAGGGGAGAACAGAUUUGUAAGUAGCUGAACAGAGCUUGACGGUACCUAGUCAGAAAGCAACGGCUAACUACGUG